This 209-nucleotide ribosomal RNA is filed under the name uncultured bacterium. RNAcentral describes it as "partial 16S ribosomal RNA". It matches the Rfam family "Bacterial small subunit ribosomal RNA", at positions 524 to 732 of the family's 1533-position model. The record is from RNAcentral.
UACGGAGGAGGCAAGCGUUAUCCGGAAUUAUUGGGCGUAAAGCGUCCGCAGGUGGCUAUUCAAGUCUGCGGUCAAAGACUGGGGCUUAACCCUGGAAAGGCCGUGGAAACUGAAGAGCUAGGAGUGCGGUAGGGUAGGAGGAUUCCCGGUGUAGCGGUGAAAUGCGUAGAGGCUCGGGAAGAACAUCGGUGGCGAAAGCGCUCUGCUGG